Molecule: ribosomal RNA, 52 nt
Filed under: Fusarium equiseti
Lineage: Eukaryota; Fungi; Ascomycota; Sordariomycetes; Hypocreales; Nectriaceae
Description: partial 28S ribosomal RNA
Source: RNAcentral
GAAUGUUGACCUCGGAUCAGGUAGGAAUACCCGCUGAAUUUAAAUAAAGAGU